RNAcentral lists this long non-coding RNA (349 nucleotides) under Homo sapiens (human). RNAcentral describes it as "HSALNT0257291". Lineage: Eukaryota; Metazoa; Chordata; Mammalia; Primates; Hominidae. The record is from RNAcentral.
CACAGGCCCAAGUACUUAGAUGAUAUGAUUCUCCUCUUCUGCCUGGGUCAUGGCAACAGGAGGAUGAAUUAUUUUAGCAAGCCCAGAUUACAGUUUCAGAUAUGACAGUCAACACAUCCUGAAUGUUGGGUCCAACUACAUGAGGCACGUCUCAUCAGUGAACCAGAUCUAUGCGUCAUAGCCUCAAUUCCUAUUGCAUGUUGUGUUGACUUAAUGGAGUCCCAGUUUUCUUGGUGUGCUGAAUCCUGGUCUGAGAGUCACCAACCCACCUGUGGACCACAUUUAUGUAUAAGAGCCUUUUUUAAAAAAAAUCUUCUGACUGCCUCUGGUUGUUAGAUUUAGAACCUCA